CGGCUAAAGUCAGGCUGUAUAAUGUUGCUUGCAGUGUGCUGUUGCAGUAACCUAAGCAGUAUUUGCACUGUGCAUGAGGCUGACUCCUCUGUCAGUAAUACUAGCAUUCUGCUAAGAAGUCCAUUAAUGUACUGGGAUUUGGUGUGAGCCAUGAGGAAGCCAACUCUGCUUAUGAUACCAGAUUGUUUAGGGUGGCCAAAGCAGAAGAGGAUUGCAGAUAACCCCAAAAGGAUCUUUCCAGACUGUGUAAGAAAGUGCAAACUGAUGCAUAUUGGGACAAAAAAAAAAUCUGAUAACUUGACAUACACACUAAUGGGGCCUGGAACAAGAGCUUGGGGUUGUAGUUGGCAGCUGUGAAAGAGACAGAUUGGCAUGCUGGGGAUCAUUAGGAAAAAUAUUGCAAACGAAGCAGUCAAAAUCAUAAUGCCAGCAUAAAAAUCCAUGGUGCAACUGCACUUGGAAUACUGUGUACCGUCUCUCUUGGUGAUACCUCAUGGGUCAGGAGCACCGCUUGUAACUACUAGAACAUCCUCCCAGUUGAGAUUAGACAGACACCCUCCUUGCUAAACUUUGGAUGUGUGACCAAUAUUUUCUUAUUUCAGCAGGCGUUUUAAGGUAGCGUCCGGCUUUAUGGUGCAUUUUUCCUGGCCUUUAUUGUUUGAAUUGUUCGCAUUUUGUUUUGUAAUUUUAUGUACACUGCUUAGUAUUGUUAAUAGGUAAAGAUAAAGGGACCCCUGACAAUUAAGUCCAGUCGUGAACGACUCUGCAAUUGUGGCGUUCAUCUCGCUUUAAAGGCCGAGGGAGCCGGUGUUUGUCCACUUCUGCAGACAGUUUUUCCAGGUCAUGUGGCCAGCAUGACUAAGCCGCUUCUGGCAAAAGCAGAGCAGUGCACGGAAACACUGUUUACCUUCCCGCUGGAGCGGGACCUAUUUAUCUACUUGCACUGUGUGCUUUCGAAUUGCUAGGUUGGCAGGAGCUGGGACCAAACAAUGGGAGCUCACCCCAUCGCGGGGAUUCGAACCGCCGACCUUUCGAUCAGCAAGCCCAAGCGGCACAGUGGUUUAACUCACAGCACCACCCGCGUCCCUAGUAUUGUUAAUAACUGAUACGUAAAUACUUCAAAUAAAUAAAGUUCUGUCUCACCUCUAAAAGGAUAUUGUAGAGCUGGAAAAGGUUCAAAAAAGAGCAACCAGCAUAAUCAUUGGGGUGGAGAAAGUUCCCUAGAUAUCCUAGAUGGGUUUUUCAAGGCUCUUUUUAUUGCACUACGUUCAGUAUGUCAAUCAAAAUAACACAUUAUUUCCUUGUUUACACCACCACUGUAUCAAAUUAUCUCAUGCUCUGUAGGAGGCAACACACAGUGAUAGGGCAGUAAUUAUGAUGAAGAUAAUAAAUGUUAUAAUAAUAAUAAUAUUGUUCUGAAGACAUCUCAGUGAAUCUGAAUGCAAAACAAACUUGCACCUGGAAGUUAUAUUUUACCUCAGCUACAUUCCUCUUUCUGGUUUAAAUUGUCUUCAGCUCCCUAAUAAAGCUAUUAGUUUUGUUAAAACAAGAUGAGACAGUAGCAUUCCAGUUAAAUAUGACUUCUCAGAUUAAUAUGUUAGUCCAUGAUGUACUUUAAUUUCCUCAGGGACGAAGAGUGUUGUUACAAAGCAUUAUGGUUAUAUAGCUGUUAUGUACUGUAAAAGUAUGAGUCAGUAGUCCUUUAAAAGGUUAACAGACCUUUUCGUUCCAGGAUGUUCUAUCUAGGAAAAAAAAAAAGUACUGUAAUCCAGACAACUGAAACAACUAAAACAAAAUCCUUUGGUAUUCAAGCACGAUAUAAUAUAUCAAUCAUAAAACAAUAAUUUGAUGUCUGACAUUCUUCAAAGGUAAAUUAUAUUUUGGUAAAAACAAUGCAGCGUCUCACACAAGAUAUGCGUGGUUGAAGCUUGUAUUGUUUUGGAGGCCUGCCUGUUUAUGAGAAGCUUGUAAAUGAAGACUAGUUUCAACCAUGCAAGCAGAGCUGUAAAAUGAUCGUGGCUGCGGGCUGCGUACACAACUGUACAUUUGAGGCACAUUUCCUUCCUCUCAAAGGAUCCUGGGAACUUUAGUUAAAGGUGCUAGGAAUUGUAGCUCUGUGAGGGGUAAACUACAGUCCCCAGGAAUUUGGGGCGUGGGUGGGUAUGUCCUUUAAAUAUAUGCUAUGCAGUGCUUUAUUUCUAAAAAAAUGUUUAGGGGUACUCUCAUUUUCCUACUCAUAUUGAAAUACUGCCCCUCAAUGAGGCCAAACUUAGAUUCACAAAAUGUUUAGGGGGUAUGCGUACCCCCAGAGAAAAAGCACCAAUGUUAUAUAUGCAGCCAUGAUCAUACAUGGGCAUAGCAUGAGCAAGGGAGAAGCGCACACAAAGUGUGUGAAAGGCUUUAUUGAUAAAUGGGCAGAAUGAGCAAGCCUGUUUUUCAUUUCAAACCAGCUUUCCUGUUCAGUUCUGGGUAAUCAGUAGCAGUAAAAUCCCAGGCAUUCUCCCAUCAUGUUAAGUAAACGUGUGGCAUGUGUGUGCAGGGAUGAGCAUGUCAUCGCCACACCAGUUGACAUUCUCCACAGUUGAGCAAUACAUUUAUUAUGACCAACUGAAAUGCCAUGAAGUAAUGAGCAAGCACUCAUUGUCUUCUUUCUUUCUUUCUUUCUUUCUUUCUUUUGGACCAGCUUUGCUUUCUUAUAGACCUUUGUUUUGUUUUUUUGCAUGUCCUGGAAAAUCAAGAUGCUGAAACACAUGGGGAGUCUCCACUGGUACAGGGGCAGCUGCCCAUUUCAGAUAGGUGCCCUCCAACUUAUGGAGUGUAUAGUAUGGAACUCAUUUCCACAGGAGGCAAUGAUGGCCCCCUACUUGGAUGGCUUCAUUUAUUAAAUAAAAUGAAAAAUGUAUUAUGGAAGGGGGCGGGGUUAUUGGGGUUUGUUGUUGUUCUAUGUAUUUUGUGGUUUUUAUAUUGCAAAUUUACGUUGCUAACUGCCCUGAGAUCUGCAGAGGGAGGGCGGUAUACAAAUUUAAUUUUAAAAAAUAAAAGAGGAUUCGACAGAUUCUUGGAGGAUUUGUCUAUCAAUGGCUGCUAGCCACAGUGGUUAGGUUCUGCCUCCACUAUCGGAGGCAGUAUGUGUAUGAACGGCAGUUGCUGGGAAUCGCAAGUGUUGUUCUCAGGAGCUAGCUGCUUUUGGGCUUCCCAUUGGCAACUAGCCACUGUCAGAACAGGAUGCUGGACUAAAUGGACCACUGACCCUCAUAUUCUCAUGAAGGUGAUGAAAAUGACAAGUUGAAGGUUGUGGGGAAUAGAGCUAGCACAUUCAUCUUUGUGGCUGUGAUAAGAAUUUUAAGGUCUUAGAUAUGUAAUAAAUGUUCAUAAAUGUACCAAGCAAAGACGUACAUAAAUAAAUAAACCACAUGUCUAAAAACCCCACAGAAAAAAACAAACUGACCUCAAUUAUUUCUCUGCAAGGUCAAAGUGGGAAACCUCCCCGUUGUCUUUUUCCUUCACAAAUCCUAUCUUAAGGGCACAUUUAAGGUAUGAAUAGGGUGUGAGCCUGUGACCUGGCCCAAGAACUAAGUAUUUAUCAUUACAAAAGGCUGGCCAGGCUCCCCAAGCAAUCCAAUCAAGUGACCAUUAAACGUAACCUGUGAGAUAAACAAGUCAAUCAAAUUUCUGCUGUAGACCGCCUUUUCUGUGAUGUAGGAAUGAUGUAUCUGGGGGGUGGUCUUAGGUUACACCCCUUCUGUGAUGUAUGUAUGAUGUAUCAAGGGCUGGUCUUGAGCUCCAGGGCAGGGAAUUUAAAAUGUCUAUAUAAGGCCUUGCGCGCCAUUGUUCUGGGUUCCUCCUCCUUUCCUGUGUGUGAGGGGAGCACCCUGUUGCAAUAAAUCAAUAAAGAUCAGGCUUACUAGCUGUUUUGCUUCUCAAUAUUCUCUGGUUGGCCUCUGUUUAUUUUCUCCUACCAAUAGGCAGUGGCGUAGCGUGGGUUGUCAGCACCCGGGGCAAGGCAAGUAAUUUGCGCCCCCUAACCCGUGGAUUUUAGGUAGGGGCAGAGAGCUGCGAGUGCGAGCGCCCCUCCCAGAUGUUGCGCCCGGUGCGGCCGGCCCCCCCUGCACCCCCCACGCUACGCCACUGCCAAUAGGGAACCUACGUAAAGACACUAUAUGGGCUCUUGGAUACCCCAUAAGGGGGGAAAAGGGCAGAUUUUUGUUUACAACAUGGCCUACUAAGAGAGCUAUGGCCUUCCAGGACUUUAAAUUGUGUUAUAGGCCUCUAUACAAGUAGAGGAGGCUCCUUUGCUCACACCUUUGCCCUCCAGCUCAGGGUGGGGUGGCAUUGGGAGGCAGAGCUUCUUGGCACAGCUCACCCCAGCUCUCCUCCUCAUGAUGCUACUUCUGUGGGGAGUCCUAACUCCUGAAGAGAGUUUAUGUUAUGGUGGUAAUAGCCCUGGCAUAGCACAGCCACCUGGCAUGGCAUGCCUACCAUCUCUCCUCUCCACCCCCUAAUACUGUUGUCUUUUUAUAGAAGACACGUAACAAGUGCUCGCUCUAUCUCCCGGAGCCUGAGAAGCAAACGGACUUCCAGAUUUUAAUGGAAAGCUACAACACGUCAGUGAACCGUAGCUAACGAAUGCAGAACAUGGCAAUUAUUGCACAUGGAAGUUGGGGCAAGGGUGUUUUUUUAAAGGGUUUUUUUUAACACUUGGAGUGUGAAGUUUUCCUUCUGCCAGACCUUAGACUGCACUUUGCACAGGCUUUUUGUCAUUAAAAUACUCUUAUGUAAGCCUAAUUGACACAGUUAAAAGAGCUAUUACUCACAGAUGUCUGUUGCUAUAGUAAUGGGGGAGAAAGGCAGAAUGCUCUUCACCCUUCUCAAAAUAAUAGACAUUAUCAUAUGUAAAGGCAUUGUGUCUUUUUUUUUUUUUUUUUGUAAAGCUCCUCUUCAGAAGCUAGGCACUUUGUACAUGUUGUAACAAGGAUGAACCCUCAUUAAGGAGUUCAUAAUAAUUUUUAACACCUGCCAAAAUGAUGGAGAGGGAGAAUGAAUGCAAGUGUAAAUCAUAAUGUUCCAGGAUACAGUAUAUGCUUUUCUAGUGAUCUCAACUUUUUUUUUUAAUGGGGCUUUUAGGAAAUCAGUAUUGUUCCCAUGGAAUUGAAAUUAGUAUCAAAAGCUCCAGAAAGAGAAAACGUGGUAUUAUUUUAUGUGAGGGUUUUUAGCCUCUCCUUUUCCCCUCACAAAGUGGUUCAACAAUCAGUCCCUCUUCCCAAGGAAUUCUGGGAACUGUAGCUCUGUGAGAGGAAUAGGGGUCUCCAAACAACUCUCAGCAUCCUUAAAGUCACAAAUGUGAGUGAAACAUUGUGUUAAGUAUGGCCGUCCUGUGUACAUGUCCUGUGUACAUGUGAAACCUGAGGGAGCCCAGGACCCUAGACAUUUGGUAACUUUCUUCCACCAACACUGCCGCCAACCUGUCUGCUAUUGCCCCUGGAAUACAGCAUUAAAAAAUGGAUAGCUGUGAAUAUAUUUUUGCUUUCAUCUUUAUUGUCCUGGGGAAACUCUACUGGUGCCCUUCCAGAAUGAAACCCAGUACCUUCAGCAUGAGGAAAGAUGCUUUGUUUUCAUACAUAAGAUACUGAAACGCAUUUCAGGAUCGAUAUCAAGUGCAAGUGCCAGUCAGACAAUAUUGCUUAUCUUUUAUUUGCAAUGCAGCCUACCAUGUCGCUAUUUACUUGUGCAAAACCUUUAAUGAAACGGCUCCAAAUCAGGCUGCCCAGCCAACCAGAACAUGUCACUCUUGCCUUAACUUUUCUUCCAUGCUACAAAUGGGUAAGCAGUUGGAGGAAAAUACAGGUUGAAGCAGGCCCCAUCCGUCCAGGCUUUUAAAUGAGUUUUAGAAGUCUCAUCAUUUCAGGUUGCAUUUUUUUUGCUUGAUGGAUUUGUUGUGCAGCGGUUUUGAAACCGUUUCAGAAUUUGUAAUGCCCGUGCGUUCUGCUUUAACUGCUUAUUUUUAUUGAAAUGUGUGGUUGUAUUUUAUUAUUGUAUUAUGAUGUCAGCUGCUUUGGUUUGCCCUGAAAUAGUGGCCUAUAAAUAUUUAAAUAAAGGAAUGAAGUAGGGAUUUGAACCAUGGACGUAGCUAGGAUUUUUGUUGGUGGGGUAGGCUUUUGUUGCGGGGGCGGAACCUCAUAUUUGUAUUGGUUUUUAUUUUUAUUGAUUUAGGGGGGCAGCUGCCUCCCUGGCCAUGCACAUGAUUUGAACCUGGGUCUAUGAAGUAGGACCACUGAGAAGUGGGUACACAGACUGUACGGAUGUACUGCAAGCCUUCAGUCAGCUGGACCCCCAGACUCUGAGCUCCCCCCCCCCCUUUUAAAGUAGGUCUAGUCCUCUUGGAAAUAAAGUGAUGGAACAAACUAUACAUGUACUAUUCACAGCCAUUUCUGUGAGAUGAGCCUUCCUGGCUUUCCCCACCUUUCAGUAUUUUUAGAGUGAAGUUGGGGCUAUGGAUGUUAGCAGCAAGUCAGGUUACUUUUAUGUUUCAUUUUAUUUUUCUUUCUGUACUCUCUCUUCUUCCUAUAACUAACUGGUGAAUUCUCAGACUAAAAACAAAAAGGGAAAGGGAAAAGUAAUACUGUAUUUUUUUUUAAAAAAAAUAUUUUAAAAAAUUUCAGAUGAUGACAAUCUGUGUUUUUUUUAAUAAUGUCUUCUGUGGACUUUAUAGCUUUGCAUUAACUCUGAUUCUUUACAUAGAACUUGUGUUCUACUUUACGCAUAGAAGCUGCAUGUGUACAUCACCUUCUGUUUAUUACUCAGAGAUCUAGAAAACGGUAUCUUUGUUCCAGCUCAAGUACAAUAUGUUCAUGCUAAGUCUAUACACAGGCCCUCCAUUUCAGAUACUGUGGUGUAUUUUGACCUGGCAGCCCCAUUAACAGCUGAGUUUGUUCUGAUAGCGGGACGAUGUUUGCUGUCCUUGCGAGUCUGGCAAUUACAUUUGCUUACACCACAGUCUGCCUGGUAUUUACAAUUUAAUAUUUGCUGCUUUCACUUUUUCAGGUUUCACUGCUAAUGCUUUAAAUUAAGCCACAAGGGAAGGCUUGACGCUGAAGAGCGUUUUGCCUAACACCUUUCCCAAGCUGUCACUUCUGCCUUAACAAUGCAUUCCUGAUUUUGCCACAGCUACAGUACUGGUGUUUGCUAAAAUCCCUGGAAGUAAAACUGCAAGUUUUAAUUGUUAGAUCAGCCCACUAAAACUUUGGCUGAGGACCAGUUUUAACCAGAGGGGUUAAAGGUAAAGUCUCUCUGUGUGUGUAUAGACCUGGUGUGUCGCUAUACUAAUGAAUGAAAAAGAAAAUAUUAAAAAUGGCCUUUCCUUCUUUUGCAGGGAGCAUUUGCUUAUUAAAUGUCUUUGUUUUAUUUCUUUAAGUGUUUAUUGGCCUCUCUUCUGCUGAAGCUACCAGAGCGCCUUAAGCAUAAAACAACACUGCAACCCAGCAGUUGUACUACUAAUGUUUGAUGAACAAGCUUACUCUCAGGUAAGUGCACAGGAUCGCAGCGUAACAACAAUUGUGUACUGGUGAUGUGCUGGCUAAGGGACAAUAGGAUUUGGUGGGUGCACUGCUGCCAAUGUUUUGGUAUUUUAAUGAUUGUAUGUUUUAAAGUAGGGUUGUAUUUUUUAAUUGACCUUACUGAUUUUAUCUUUUGUAAACCGCUUUCAGGUGUAUAAAUUUUAUGAAAGAAUUUUUUUUAACUGAAUUAGCAAAUGCACCAUCAGAAUGCAAAAUUCUACACUGUCAUAGUGGCUGAAUGCCUAAAGCAGGACAGAGUAAAGGAUGGGAUGUCAGUGGAACAGGGAAGGAACACACAGGUCUCUUCCACGCUGUGGGCACAUCCCAUCAGUGGCACUUCUUUAGUCCAGAUCUGGAAGAAUAAAUGUCCCUCCCAUAGACUUGCUCCAGGCAGGCUCAUUGGGCUGCCUCCCCAUAUCCCCUACUGUCAGGGGGUGGAGGAGGCCAAGCACUGAUUCAGUGGCCAGCUGCUGCUCCUUCUGCCAUGGAAGACUGCUGAGCAUGAGAGAAAAGGAGCCAAUGACCACUGUUUUUGGCUUCAUCCCCUGGCUCCUCCCAAAAUGCCAUGUGACAUCACAUGACGCAUGUGUGAUGUCAACCGGACCCUCAAUCUUUGGCGCAAGUUGGCACCUCUGUCCAGAAGUCAAGUGUUUCUCAUUGCCUCUUCUACUUGGAUUAGACCAGGGGUCAGCAAACUUUUUCAGCAGGGGGCCGCUCCAUUGUCCCUCAGAGCUUUUGGGGGGCCGGACUAUAUUUUUUUGGGGAGAAAUGAAAUGAAUUCCUAUGCCCCACAAAUAACCCAGAGAUGCAUUUUAAAUAAAAGCACACAUUCUACUCAUGUAAAAACACCAGGCAGGCCCCACAAAUAACCCAGAGAUGCAUUUUAAAUAAAAUGACAUAUUCUACUCAUGUAAAAACACGCUGAUUCCUGGACCGUCCGCGGGCCGGAUUUAUAAGGCGAUUGGGCCGGAUCUGGCCCCCGGGCCUUAAUUUGCCUACCCAUGGAUUAGACAACACACAGUGAUUCCCCUUUCAGUUUGCAACUCUGGCCAAGGGCAAGUCCUUUAUAUGAGCUGGAGAGAAGAUUCUAGAAAAUAUUGGAAAUACAAAAUAAACUCAUACAGGUGUGGAUGCUGGGGUGUGUGAGGGUGAAGCAAAGCAGAUCAGGCGGGGUAAUACCAGCCCUUUAAAACCAUAAAACAGCUGUCUGCUCCUCAGCCAACAGGAAUGUAUGUACAAUCUUUAGCAGAAUAAGCUGCUUGUCUUCCUGGCCAGCUUGCCUCUGUUAAUGUUGCCUUUAUGGGAAUCAGAGAAGUUCUGUCCACAGCAAUCUAGUUGUUGCAACUCGGCAGGGAUGGUAAUAAAUGUAAUGGAAACAGGUGUCCAAUGGAACGGAGAAGCAGAUUCCACACACAGCUGUGUCCGCCUUGAAUAAAGGUUAAUUGUUUCACAGUCAGGAGGAACAGCUUAAUGGACAAUUGAAAAUGGAUCAUGGUUAAUGUUUCCAUUAAAAAAAGAAGAAGAAAAGAGUCUUUAACUGUGUAAAAAGCAAAUACCAGCAAAAAAUCCAAUGUCACCUUAAAGAGUGACAAAUGUGUUACGGCAUAAGCUUUUGUAGACUAGAGUCCACUUCAUCAAAUGCAUGGUGUUAUUCUAAGUUGACAGGUGUGAGUGUGUGUGCGUGCGCGCGCACGCGCACACACACACACACAUAUUUGGGGGGGAGAGGGAAAUAGAGAAGCAGUGAGGUCCGUAGGAAAUGAAAUUCAAAGAGGAGGGAUUGUGACCAUUAAACCUUAAAUGUACGUAACAAACAGUGUGAUGAAACACAAAGCAAUGUUGAUGAGAGCACAAAUAUAUUGGCAGAAAUUCAACAGGAAAUGAUGGGGAAAGAUUUAUAUCCAUUGUCCAGAAAGGCUCCACCUACUUGUUUCUCCACUCUCAACGCUCCUUAACUGUAGGCCAGAUUUCAUGUUAAGGUAAGGCUAUUUUCAGAAAAAGACAUUCUGAGAUGUUCCUGCCAUUGAUUUUUAUGGCCACUGCAUCAGGCCCUAAAGGCAUUAUUUGAGCUCUUAUGCAAACAGGCAGUGCAGUGAUUCCACAUAACUUGUAUAAGGUUGCCAACUGUUAAAGCCCUGUGCCUUUAGCAGUAGCUUGACACAAAGAAAUUAAACAGGUGUGUUUUUGUCAAUGCAAAAAGGCACAUAUUUAUAUAUAUAUCUGAGGUGGGGAACCUGUGGCCAUGAAGAUGCUGAGCUACAAUUCUGGUCAUCCCUGACUACUGGCUGAGACUGGUGGAAAGUGGAGUUCCAACAACAUCUAAAGAGCCACAGCUCCCCUCUCCCUUCCCUGCUUUAAUGUAAGGUAAAAUGACAUACCGGACGCGGGUGGCGCUGUGGGUAAAACCUCAGCGCCUAGGGCUUGCUGAUCACAUGGUCAGCGGUUCGAAUCCCCGCGGCGGGGUGAGCUCCCGUCUUUCGGUCCCAGCUGCUGCCCAUCUAGCAGUUCGAAAGCACCCCAAGUGCAAGUAGAUAAAUAGGUACCGCUUUAUAGUGGGAAGGUAAACGGCAUUUCCGUGUGCUGCGCUGGUGCUGGCUCGCCAGAGCAGCUUCGUCACGCUGGCCACGUGACCCUGAAGUGUCUCCGGACAGCGCUGGCCCCCGGCCUCUUAAGUGAGAUGGGCGCACAACCCUAGAGUCGGACACGACUGGCCCGUACGGGCAGAGGUACCUUUACCUUUACCUUUUAAAAUGACAUACAUUUAUGAGUCCAUAUUAUAGUUCAUAUUAAAGUGGACAGAGGGAGACCAAGCAUUCUGAAAAGAUUCACUGACUAUAAAUAUGUUUGCUGCCAAAUCAGAUAAUAGUGCUUUCAUGUAUACCAGUGUUUCCCAAACUUGGGUCUCCCAUCAGUUUUUGAACUACAACUCCCAUCAUCCCUAGCUAGCAGGACCAGUAGUGAGGGAUCAUGGGAGUUGUAGUCCAAAAACAGCUAGCAAUUCAAGUUUGGGAAACACUGAAGUAUACAAAUCCAUUCAGAGAGCCCUAUAGGACAUUUUGAGCAUUUAAGGGCGCUACACAGUCAACUUACCUGCACAAUAAGAUAAAGGUCAUUUUCCUGAAGUACACUGGCUUCAGGUCUAUAAUAAGUGUACUUAAGGAAGUUUAUGGAAAUGAAGUUUCCUAUUCCUUCUUUGCCCCAACAGCCAAAUCAUGAAUAAAUGAAUGAACUCUCCCAGGGAGGAGAGAUGGCAUCACAGUGAAGCAGCAAUGCAGUCCCUUGGCUUAUUGUUCUCUUGCCUACGAUGACCAGCCAGGUGAAGUGGGAAAAGACUUAUUCAUUUGUCUCUAUGGCAACAGGGCAACCUCUUUGGACAUGCAAAUGGAAGGACUUAACUGGUUAGCUUAACAAAGGAUCUAGUCAGACUGGUUCACCAGGUUUCUUCUUGUAGAUUCUAACAGUCACAGAAUCAUAGGGUUGAAAAGAACCCACGGGUAUCAUCUGGAUUGCCCCCAACCUAUUAAAAAUACGUUUUAAUAUGAUUUAUAAAUAUACAUACUGCACCACAGUUCAGUUUAGAAAUUAUCAGGGUGGUUCACAUGAUGAUAACAGCAAAAUCAUAAAAAAUACUGCUAAAUAGGACCAUAAAUACAGUAUUAAAGCACCAAUGAAACCUCGGUGGUCUGGAGGCACCUGGAGUAAUGUGAAUCUUACCAUUGGCAGCUGGGUCUUUUCAUCCUGGCAUCUGGAACAGACAAAGUAUAGGUUGUGAGUAUAUUCAGGAAGAAUAGUGUUUAUUUACUUUUCUGUAGGUUUAACCUGAAUGAUCUUCCCAAAGAUCAUUCCAAAAUGAUCUUCCAAAAACAAAACAAAAAAAACCUUCACAACAUUUCUUCAAAAUGUGUUAACAAUGCAACUAUAUAUAUAUCUACUCAAAAGUAAGCACCAUUGAGCACAACGGACCGCAAGCCUAAAAUAUGCACGUAGAGAGAAACUUCUUUCCAAGAAAGGGUUUUCUAAAAAUCUUCCAUCACAAUGCAUGUGUUCAAGAGAGAGACUCUAGGCUGUCAAUGAUUGUUUAUUCCAGUUCACUGACUUGGGCUACACAGGAAAAGAAAAUCCCAUCAGCCUCCCUAUGCUAUGUUUAUAUGAGUGUGUGUAUACAACGUCUGUUUCCCAAUCUGACUGGGAAUCUGCCAAAACUAUUAGGUAUUCAGUGUUUUUUUAAAAAAAUUAUUUUAUAAAAUUUACUGCAUGAUCGUUUUUUUUAAAAAACCCACCUCAAAGCAGUUUACAGAAAGAACAUCUAGGACAUCUAUGGAACCAGAAAAGACAGGAAAGCAUCACCAUUCCCAAAAUGUAUUCUGGCCUACCUCAAAAAAUACAGAAUUCUUCUGCAACCUCUUUUGUGUGGGAAAAGCGUGAUAUUUUGUAGCCUCACAUCUAGAGAAAGUGCCAAACAAGUUGGCAGUGCAAGACUGAAAUCUCUGGGGCUUGCAACAGUCCUAGCAUGUACGGUGAAUAGUCUGUGUUUUCACCAUGGUAAAUUAUGAUCCCAAACUUUUUACCUUUCUUUGUAACAAGGCCACAAUGUGCAUGUGUUAAGAAUAGCCUACAAUGUGUUUACUAUGAACUACCGUACCAUUCUGGAUGAAACUGAUCCAUGCCCACUGCACAUAAGCCUGUGAUUAGAAUUUUGUGGGUUGUUGUUGCUGCUGUUUUUUUUAAAAAAAACAACAACAACUGUUUCAUCAGAAUGUUAAAAGUCUAUUGUAGUCAACUUGUAAACACAUCAGUUGUGCACAAAAGAGAUGCAGCAGCAGGGAAAAAAAUAAUCCUUUAAGCAGCUGGUUAUCUUGGUUUAGAUUUGGAACACUGCAAACUGUUUUAAACAUGCAAGUCGAAAAUGUGGUUUGUCUGCUUGGCUGGGUGUGGGGGGAAACAGCUGGAUCUAAAUAGAAACUCCCACCUGUGCAUACAGAACUUUUAGUAUCCACAAUAAGAGUUUUCUGGCCAAGCCACCAUUUCAAUUUGUCAGUGUUUAUUCUGGGCACCCAAGCUAAAAAGUCUUCGAAUCCUCUUGGACCAUAUCUAUUUUUCUUCUUCCCCCCCCCCCACCCGUUUUUAGAAUGCAUAUAAAUGCAGAGAAUGAAUCCACAGGAGGAUUUUGGAUUUGUUCAGACAUUACUUUGCUCUUGCAUGGAAGCCAUCUGUAUAGAAAAUAAGUAACAUGAAUUAAGCAGUCGCCAAGCAUCAUCAAGUUUAUUUAUAAGCCACUUUUCCAACCGAUGCUCAAGGCAGCUCACAAGAACUGUAAACCAAUCAAUAAUAUAUAGGUACAAGAAAAACAGCUGUAAAUAUAUCAAACACAUUUCACAGAAAUAGUGUUUGGUAUCCACAUGAGCAAUAUCACAAAUGCAUUCAUAUUAAGGUACAUUCGGUAACCGGAGUCUGUAUGCUUAGUUAUUAUUUAGACUGUGUUAGACCAAACU
Podarcis lilfordi (Lilford's wall lizard) is the source of this 13045-nucleotide non-coding RNA. The record is from the annotation of a GenBank genome assembly. NCBI's taxonomy places the organism in Eukaryota, Metazoa, Chordata, Lepidosauria, Squamata, Lacertidae.